Molecule: ribosomal RNA, 659 nt
Filed under: Basidiodendron globisporum
Lineage: Eukaryota; Fungi; Basidiomycota; Agaricomycetes; Auriculariales; Exidiaceae
Description: partial large subunit ribosomal RNA
Rfam family: Eukaryotic large subunit ribosomal RNA
Source: RNAcentral
GAUUCCCCUAGUAACGGCGAGUGAAGCGGGAAAAGCUCAAAUUUGAAAUCUGGCGUCCUCCGGGCGUCCGAGUUGUAAUCUGGAGAGGCGUUGUCCGCGGCGGACCUCGUACAAGUCCUUUGGGAUGAGGCGUCAUAGAGGGUGAGAAUCCCGUAUAUGACGAGGACUACCGUCGCUUUGUGUCGCGCCCUCGAAGAGUCGAGUUGUUUGGGAAUGCAGCUCAAAAUGGGUGGUAAAUUCCAUCUAAAGCUAAAUAUUGGCGAGAGACCGAUAGCGAACAAGUACCGUGAGGGAAAGAUGAAAAGAACUUUGGAAAGAGAGUUAAACAGUACGUGAAAUUGCUGAAAGGGAAACGCUUGAAGUCAGUCGUCUCGGCGAGGACUCAGCCCGGCUUCUGUUGGGUGUACUUCCUCUGCCGAGGGGUCAGCAUCAGUUUUGGGCGUCGAAGAAGGUUGUGAGGAAGGUGGCACCCUCGGGUGUGUUAUAGCCUCAUGACGGACGCGGCGCCUGGGACUGAGGACCGCUUUUUAAAGGAUGCUGGCGUAAUGGCUUUAAGCGACCCGUCUUGAAACACGGACCANGGAGUCUAACAUGCUCGCGAGUGUUCGGGUGGUAAACCCUUGCGCGUAAUGAAAGUGAAAAGUUGGGACCCUUCGCGG